Molecule: transfer RNA, 63 nt
Filed under: Kaloula sp. Leyte-Samar
Lineage: Eukaryota; Metazoa; Chordata; Amphibia; Anura; Microhylidae
Description: tRNA-Cys
Source: RNAcentral
AAGCUCUGGGGUGUCAGCACGUGAGGUUGCAAACCUUAAGAAGCAGAUAAUAUUCUGCCGGGG